This 72-nucleotide transfer RNA is filed under the name Sphaerodactylus townsendi. RNAcentral describes it as "tRNA-Ala". It matches the Rfam family "tRNA". From Rfam's summary of the family: Transfer RNA (tRNA) molecules are approximately 80 nucleotides in length. Lineage: Eukaryota; Metazoa; Chordata; Lepidosauria; Squamata; Sphaerodactylidae. The record is from RNAcentral.
GGGGGCAUGGCUCAGUGGAAGAGUACAUGCUUGGCACGCAGAAGGUCCCGGGUUCAAUCCCUGGCAUCUCCA